Long non-coding RNA from Molossus molossus (Pallas's mastiff bat), 133 nucleotides. RefSeq lists it as uncharacterized. NCBI's taxonomy places the organism in Eukaryota, Metazoa, Chordata, Mammalia, Chiroptera, Molossidae. The record is from RefSeq and is a predicted model, not a curated record. The transcript is spliced from 3 exons.
GUCAAAAAGAAAACAGAGAAAGAAAGUGCCACUGAUGUCAAAAGAAAAGAGUCGGGGAAAGCCCCUGAAACCAAACAAGGCACUAUAAAAGUUUCAGCACAAGCAGCAGCUAAAAAAGAUGAAAAGAAAGAAG